This 1059-nucleotide long non-coding RNA is filed under the name Anser cygnoides (Swan goose). Its description in RNAcentral is "lncRNA (ENSACDG00005019000.1)". Lineage: Eukaryota; Metazoa; Chordata; Aves; Anseriformes; Anatidae. The record is from RNAcentral.
CAAAAACCCAAGGGGCUCGGCGAGAGCCCUCCGGGGAGCCACCCAACCCGCGGGCUGGCGACGGCCCGGUGCUGGUGCGGAGCCCCAGAGCAGCAGGGGGAUCGCGCAGGGGCCUCCCGCAGCCCCACGCGGGCAGCGAGGUCAGCGCGCAGCCCUGCGGGCGGUCGCUUCAGCCCCAGGCGUUUCCCUUCAGCGCUGCCGGAGCGCGGGCACGCAGCGAGGCGAGGGAGCCGCCUCCUGCCUGCGACGGGUCGUAGCACGGCGCUCCUGAGCCACCUUGUGCCGAAGGAUCAGCUGCAGGACCUCCAAGUCGCCUCACCGGCAGCAAGGGCCGGGCUGCUGGAGCAGGAGCGCCUCGCUUUGCGGCCUUCGGUCUCCCCCAAAGGCAUUCGCCACGGGAAGCCACGGCGGCUAAAAGAAAUCCGCAGGAAGGGGUGUUGGGUGCUGGGAGCUCAGGGAGCUGGAAGCUGGAAGGUGUCGGUGCAGGAAAGCACAGAAGAGCACGGGUCUCCUCUCCUCGGAGCCAAAGCCCGCAUCGCUGCCAGGGGUAAAGCCACGGGGACGAGCUCCUGCACGGGGACAAACCAGGGUCCGGCAAAGGUCUGGCUUUACGGAGGCUCCCGACCACAUCGGAGACGCGAAGCUCCCGUUCCACAAAGCUCCUUCGGGACGCACCGGCAGGCACAGCAGCGGAGGCACCGAGUGCCUGCGGUCCCCAGGAGCCACAGACCGCAUCCGCGCCCACCUCUGCGCAUUUCCCCGCGCCCUCUGUUCCGGCUGGAGCUCCUUACACUCUUCCUUAAAAUCCUCGCGCUCCUUCUUGCGCGAGGUCGAGCGCGCGGGUCCCGAGCGGGCAGAGCCCUGCUUGCGACUCCUUCAGCAGCCGCGCUCCUUUCCGCCCGGGGCGGUGAGCAACGAGCACGCUUCGGCCUCCAGUUACCGCAGAGCCAAAACUUCUGCCAGCCCCCGGCCGGCCGGCGCCCUCGUUGCAGAGCUGGAACUUUCCAGAGCAGCGGUGCCAUGGCAGGGCCGAGGCUGGGAAACCCGAUGUUCCCCUGA